This 253-nucleotide ribosomal RNA is filed under the name uncultured bacterium. RNAcentral's name for it is "partial 16S ribosomal RNA". It matches the Rfam family "Bacterial small subunit ribosomal RNA", at positions 524 to 776 of the family's 1533-position model. The record is from RNAcentral.
UACGUAGGGGGCAAGCGUUGUCCGGAUUUACUGGGCGUAAAGAGCGUGUAGGCGGCCACGCAGGUCCGUUGUGAAAACUGGAGGCUCAACCUUCAGACGUCGACGGAAACCGUGUGGCUAGAGUCCGGAAGAGGAGAGUGGAAUUCCUGGUGUAGCGGUGAAAUGCGCAGAUAUCAGGAGGAACACCGGUGGCGAAGGCGGGUCUCUGGGCCGAUACUGACGCUGAGGAGCGAAAGCGUGGGGAGCGAACAGG